GGCGGACGUAACCUAGUGGAUCAAGGCAGU
RNAcentral lists this transfer RNA (30 nucleotides) under Zamia pumila. RNAcentral's name for it is "partial tRNA-His". The record is from RNAcentral. Lineage: Eukaryota; Viridiplantae; Streptophyta; Cycadopsida; Cycadales; Zamiaceae.